UACGAAGGGGGCUAGCGUUGCUCGGAAUCACUGGGCGUAAAGGGUGCGUAGGCGGGUCUUUAAGUCAGGGGUGAAAUCCUGGAGCUCAACUCCAGAACUGCCUUUGAUACUGAAGAUCUUGAGUUCGGGAGAGGUGAGUGGAACUGCGAGUGUAGAGGUGAAAUUCGUAGAUAUUCGCAAGAACACCAGUGGCGAAGGCGGCUCACUGGCCCGAUACUGACGCUGAGGCACGGAAGCGUGGGGAGCAAACAGG
RNAcentral lists this ribosomal RNA (253 nucleotides) under uncultured bacterium. RNAcentral describes it as "partial 16S ribosomal RNA". It matches the Rfam family "Bacterial small subunit ribosomal RNA", at positions 524 to 776 of the family's 1533-position model. The record is from RNAcentral.